CAGUAGCCACGGUAAUACAGAGGGUGCGAGCGUUAAUCGGAUUUACUGGGCGUAAAGCGUGCGUAGGCGGCUUCUUAAGUCGGAUGUGAAAUCCCUGAGCUUAACUUAGGAAUUGCAUUCGAUACUGGGAAGCUAGAGUAUGGGAGAGGAUGGUAGAAUUCCAGGUGUAGCGGUGAAAUGCGUAGAGAUCUGGAGGAAUACCGAUGGCGAAGGCAGUUAUCUGGCCUAAUACUGACGCUGAGGUACGAAAGCAUGGGGAGCAAACAGGAUUAGAUACCCGGGUAGUCCCUGUCUCUUAUAC
RNAcentral lists this ribosomal RNA (301 nucleotides) under uncultured bacterium. Its description in RNAcentral is "partial 16S ribosomal RNA". It matches the Rfam family "Bacterial small subunit ribosomal RNA", at positions 509 to 807 of the family's 1533-position model. The record is from RNAcentral.